Molecule: ribosomal RNA, 2903 nt
Filed under: Escherichia coli
Lineage: Bacteria; Pseudomonadati; Pseudomonadota; Gammaproteobacteria; Enterobacterales; Enterobacteriaceae
Description: 23S ribosomal RNA
Rfam family: Bacterial large subunit ribosomal RNA
Source: RNAcentral
GGUUAAGCGACUAAGCGUACACGGUGGAUGCCCUGGCAGUCAGAGGCGAUGAAGGACGUGCUAAUCUGCGAUAAGCGUCGGUAAGGUGAUAUGAACCGUUAUAACCGGCGAUUUCCGAAUGGGGAAACCCAGUGUGUUUCGACACACUAUCAUUAACUGAAUCCAUAGGUUAAUGAGGCGAACCGGGGGAACUGAAACAUCUAAGUACCCCGAGGAAAAGAAAUCAACCGAGAUUCCCCCAGUAGCGGCGAGCGAACGGGGAGCAGCCCAGAGCCUGAAUCAGUGUGUGUGUUAGUGGAAGCGUCUGGAAAGGCGCGCGAUACAGGGUGACAGCCCCGUACACAAAAAUGCACAUGCUGUGAGCUCGAUGAGUAGGGCGGGACACGUGGUAUCCUGUCUGAAUAUGGGGGGACCAUCCUCCAAGGCUAAAUACUCCUGACUGACCGAUAGUGAACCAGUACCGUGAGGGAAAGGCGAAAAGAACCCCGGCGAGGGGAGUGAAAAAGAACCUGAAACCGUGUACGUACAAGCAGUGGGAGCACGCUUAGGCGUGUGACUGCGUACCUUUUGUAUAAUGGGUCAGCGACUUAUAUUCUGUAGCAAGGUUAACCGAAUAGGGGAGCCGAAGGGAAACCGAGUCUUAACUGGGCGUUAAGUUGCAGGGUAUAGACCCGAAACCCGGUGAUCUAGCCAUGGGCAGGUUGAAGGUUGGGUAACACUAACUGGAGGACCGAACCGACUAAUGUUGAAAAAUUAGCGGAUGACUUGUGGCUGGGGGUGAAAGGCCAAUCAAACCGGGAGAUAGCUGGUUCUCCCCGAAAGCUAUUUAGGUAGCGCCUCGUGAAUUCAUCUCCGGGGGUAGAGCACUGUUUCGGCAAGGGGGUCAUCCCGACUUACCAACCCGAUGCAAACUGCGAAUACCGGAGAAUGUUAUCACGGGAGACACACGGCGGGUGCUAACGUCCGUCGUGAAGAGGGAAACAACCCAGACCGCCAGCUAAGGUCCCAAAGUCAUGGUUAAGUGGGAAACGAUGUGGGAAGGCCCAGACAGCCAGGAUGUUGGCUUAGAAGCAGCCAUCAUUUAAAGAAAGCGUAAUAGCUCACUGGUCGAGUCGGCCUGCGCGGAAGAUGUAACGGGGCUAAACCAUGCACCGAAGCUGCGGCAGCGACACUAUGUGUUGUUGGGUAGGGGAGCGUUCUGUAAGCCUGUGAAGGUGUACUGUGAGGUAUGCUGGAGGUAUCAGAAGUGCGAAUGCUGACAUAAGUAACGAUAAAGCGGGUGAAAAGCCCGCUCGCCGGAAGACCAAGGGUUCCUGUCCAACGUUAAUCGGGGCAGGGUGAGUCGACCCCUAAGGCGAGGCCGAAAGGCGUAGUCGAUGGGAAACAGGUUAAUAUUCCUGUACUUGGUGUUACUGCGAAGGGGGGACGGAGAAGGCUAUGUUGGCCGGGCGACGGUUGUCCCGGUUUAAGCGUGUAGGCUGGUUUUCCAGGCAAAUCCGGAAAAUCAAGGCUGAGGCGUGAUGACGAGGCACUACGGUGCUGAAGCAACAAAUGCCCUGCUUCCAGGAAAAGCCUCUAAGCAUCAGGUAACAUCAAAUCGUACCCCAAACCGACACAGGUGGUCAGGUAGAGAAUACCAAGGCGCUUGAGAGAACUCGGGUGAAGGAACUAGGCAAAAUGGUGCCGUAACUUCGGGAGAAGGCACGCUGAUAUGUAGGUGAAGUCCCUUGCGGAUGGAGCUGAAAUCAGUCGAAGAUACCAGCUGGCUGCAACUGUUUAUUAAAAACACAGCACUGUGCAAACACGAAAGUGGACGUAUACGGUGUGACGCCUGCCCGGUGCCGGAAGGUUAAUUGAUGGGGUUAGCGCAAGCGAAGCUCUUGAUCGAAGCCCCGGUAAACGGCGGCCGUAACUAUAACGGUCCUAAGGUAGCGAAAUUCCUUGUCGGGUAAGUUCCGACCUGCACGAAUGGCGUAAUGAUGGCCAGGCUGUCUCCACCCGAGACUCAGUGAAAUUGAACUCGCUGUGAAGAUGCAGUGUACCCGCGGCAAGACGGAAAGACCCCGUGAACCUUUACUAUAGCUUGACACUGAACAUUGAGCCUUGAUGUGUAGGAUAGGUGGGAGGCUUUGAAGUGUGGACGCCAGUCUGCAUGGAGCCGACCUUGAAAUACCACCCUUUAAUGUUUGAUGUUCUAACGUUGACCCGUAAUCCGGGUUGCGGACAGUGUCUGGUGGGUAGUUUGACUGGGGCGGUCUCCUCCUAAAGAGUAACGGAGGAGCACGAAGGUUGGCUAAUCCUGGUCGGACAUCAGGAGGUUAGUGCAAUGGCAUAAGCCAGCUUGACUGCGAGCGUGACGGCGCGAGCAGGUGCGAAAGCAGGUCAUAGUGAUCCGGUGGUUCUGAAUGGAAGGGCCAUCGCUCAACGGAUAAAAGGUACUCCGGGGAUAACAGGCUGAUACCGCCCAAGAGUUCAUAUCGACGGCGGUGUUUGGCACCUCGAUGUCGGCUCAUCACAUCCUGGGGCUGAAGUAGGUCCCAAGGGUAUGGCUGUUCGCCAUUUAAAGUGGUACGCGAGCUGGGUUUAGAACGUCGUGAGACAGUUCGGUCCCUAUCUGCCGUGGGCGCUGGAGAACUGAGGGGGGCUGCUCCUAGUACGAGAGGACCGGAGUGGACGCAUCACUGGUGUUCGGGUUGUCAUGCCAAUGGCACUGCCCGGUAGCUAAAUGCGGAAGAGAUAAGUGCUGAAAGCAUCUAAGCACGAAACUUGCCCCGAGAUGAGUUCUCCCUGACUCCUUGAGAGUCCUGAAGGAACGUUGAAGACGACGACGUUGAUAGGCCGGGUGUGUAAGCGCAGCGAUGCGUUGAGCUAACCGGUACUAAUGAACCGUGAGGCUUAACCUU